Molecule: ribosomal RNA, 464 nt
Filed under: uncultured bacterium
Lineage: Bacteria
Description: partial 16S ribosomal RNA
Rfam family: Bacterial small subunit ribosomal RNA
Source: RNAcentral
UGGGGAAUAUUGCACAAUGGGCGCAAGCCUGAUGCAGCGACGCCGCGUGAGGGAUGGAGGCCUUCGGGUUGUAAACCUCUUUCGCCAGUGAAGCAGGCCUGCUCCUUGUGGGUGGGUUGACGGUAGCUGGAUAAGAAGCGCCGGCUAACUANGUGCCAGCAGCCGCGGUAAUACGUAGGGCGCGAGCGUUGUCCGGAAUUAUUGGGCGUAAAGAGCUCGUAGGCGGCUGGUCGCGUCUGUCGUGAAAUCCUCUGGCUUAACUGGGGGCUUGCGGUGGGUACGGGCCGGCUUGAGUGCGGUAGGGGAGACUGGAACUCCUGGUGUAGCGGUGGAAUGCGCAGAUAUCAGGAAGAACACCGGUGGCGAAGGCGGGUCUCUGGGCCGUUACUGACGCUGAGGAGCGAAAGCGUGGGGAGCGAAACAGGAUUAGAUACCCUGGUAGUCCACGCCGUAAACGUUGGGCA